This 251-nucleotide ribosomal RNA is filed under the name uncultured Gemmata sp. Its description in RNAcentral is "partial 16S ribosomal RNA". It matches the Rfam family "Bacterial small subunit ribosomal RNA", at positions 524 to 776 of the family's 1533-position model. Lineage: Bacteria; Pseudomonadati; Planctomycetota; Planctomycetia; Gemmatales; Gemmataceae. The record is from RNAcentral.
GACGAACCGUGCAAACGUUGUUCGGAAUCACUGGGCUUAAAGGGCGCGUAGGCGGCUUAUCAAGUCGGGGGUGAAAUACUUCAGCUUAACUGGAGAAGUGCCUUCGAUACUGGUGGGCUUGAGGGAGGUAGGGGUCUGUGGAACUUCUGGUGGAGCGGUGAAAUGCGUUGAUAUCAGAAGGAACGCCGGUGGCGAAAGCGACGGACUGGACCUCUUCUGACGCUGAGGCGCGAAAGCUAGGAGCAAACGGG